This 420-nucleotide ribosomal RNA is filed under the name Verrucomicrobiota bacterium. Its description in RNAcentral is "Verrucomicrobia bacterium partial 16S ribosomal RNA". It matches the Rfam family "Bacterial small subunit ribosomal RNA", at positions 355 to 776 of the family's 1533-position model. Lineage: Bacteria; Pseudomonadati; Verrucomicrobiota. The record is from RNAcentral.
UGGGGAAUUUUGCACAAUGGGCGCAAGCCUGAUGCAGCGACGCCGCGUGAGGGAUGAAGGCCUUCGGGUUGUAAACCUUUUUCGCUCAUGGUCAAGCCGCAGCUUUGGGUUGUGGUGAGGGUAGUGGGUAAAGAAGCGCCGGCUAACUACGUGCCAGCAGCCGCGGUAAUACGUAGGGCGCGAGCGUUGUCCGGAAUUAUUGGGCGUAAAGGGCUUGUAGGCGGUUGGCCGCGUCUGCCGUGAAAUCCUCUGGCUUAACUGGGGGCGUGCGGUGGGUACGGGUUGACUUGAGUGCGGUAGGGGAGACUGGAAUUCCUGGUGUAGGUGGAAUGCGCAGAUAUCAGGAGGAACACCGGUGGCGAAGGCGGGUCUCUGGGCCGUUACUGACGCUGAGGAGCGAAAGCGUGGGGAGCGAACAGG